RNAcentral lists this ribosomal RNA (532 nucleotides) under uncultured bacterium. Its description in RNAcentral is "bacterial SSU rRNA". It matches the Rfam family "Bacterial small subunit ribosomal RNA", at positions 8 to 526 of the family's 1533-position model. The record is from RNAcentral.
AGAGUUUGAUCAUGGCUCAGGACGAACGCUGGCGGCGUGCUUAACACAUGCAAGUGGUGCGACGAACCAGGGCUUGCCCUGGGGCUAAGCCGCGAACGGGUGAGUAACACGUGAGUAAUCUGCCCCGAUGACCGGGACAACCCGAGGAAACUCGGGCUAAUACCGGAUGUGGUGCACGGGUAUAAGCCUGUGUACUAAAGGAAGCUUCGGCCUCCGCAUCGAGAUGGGCCCGCGGCCCAUUAGCUUGUUGGUGAGGUAAUGGCUCACCAAGGCCGCGAUGGGUAGCUGGUCUGAGAGGACGAUCAGCCACACUGGGACUGAGACACGGCCCAGACUCCUACGGGAGGCAGCAGUGGGGAAUCUUGCGCAAUGCGCGAAAGCGUGACGCAGCAACGCCGCGUGGGGGAAGAAGGCCUUCGGGUUGUAAACCCCUUUCAGGAGGGACGAAGCCCGAGCGGUGAAUAGCCGACUCGGGUGACGGUACCUCCAGAAGAAGCCCCGGCUAACUACGUGCCAGCAGCGGCGGUAAUUC